UACGUAGGGGGCUAGCGUUGUCCGGAAUCAUUGGGCGUAAAGAGCGUGUAGGCGGUCCGGUAAGUCCGCUGUGAAAGUCGGGGGCUCAACCCUCGAAUGCCGGUGGAUACUGUCGGGCUAGAGUGCGGAAGAGGCGAGUGGAAUUCCUGGUGUAGCGGUGGAAUGCGUAGAGAUCAGGAAGAACACCGGUGGCGAAGGCGGCUUGCUGGGCCAUUUCUGACGCUGAGGCGCGAAAGCGUGGGGAGCAAACAGG
This 253-nucleotide ribosomal RNA is filed under the name uncultured bacterium. Its description in RNAcentral is "partial 16S ribosomal RNA". It matches the Rfam family "Bacterial small subunit ribosomal RNA", at positions 524 to 776 of the family's 1533-position model. The record is from RNAcentral.